This is a long non-coding RNA of Motacilla alba alba, 1343 nucleotides long. RefSeq lists it as uncharacterized. Lineage: Eukaryota; Metazoa; Chordata; Aves; Passeriformes; Motacillidae. The record is from RefSeq and is a predicted model, not a curated record. The transcript has 2 exons.
CCCAGGCAGGUGAGAAUGGGGGCCCCAGGCAGGUGAGGACCCCAGGCAGGUGAGGAUCCCAGGCAGGUGAGGAUGGGGACCCCAGGCAGGUGAGGACCCCAGGCAGGUGAGGAUGGGGGCCCCAGGCAGGUGAGGACCCCGGGCAGGUGAGGAUGCUCCGUGCUGGAUCUGCUCUGGCAGGGGAGGAUGUUCUUUUGUGAUGGCUCACCCUGUAACUGCUCACCUGAACCCCUCAUCCUGUAUCCCCUCAUCUGUAACCCUCCCUCCCCUCACCUGCAGCCCCAUCUCUUACCCUAAAAAGACCCAAGAGAGGCCCCAAAGCCCCCCCAGUCCCUCCCCCCAGGGGGCUGGGGGGCAGCAGCUCUGCAGGGCUGCUCUGGGGGCUCCUGCUGCCCCCCCAUUGCUCCCACCCCUGACUCCCACCCCUGCCCUGGCCUUGGCUUCCUCACACCAAUCCUAGAAGGGAUCCCCUGCAGGGGCAGGGCUGGCUCAGCUGCUCAGUGGUGCUAAAGGACCCUGAACUGGGGCUGGGGCUGGCCACAGGUGACCCUCACCUGCACCCAGCACCUGCCUGGCCCCCCCUCCAGCCCCCCACUCCUGACCUGGAGGGCUGAGCUGGGCACGAGCCUCACCAAAGGCAGAUCUAACCCGGAGCUGAACGCCCGAGGCACCGCCUUGGAACUGCUUUUGAAGUUUCAGUUCUGGCCGCUUUGGGGUUGUUUUUCACGGGAAACAGAAUCAUGAGGUUUGGUGCAGUUUGUUGCACAGAUGGGAAUUUGGUGCUCAGCUGGGGCCAGGCCAAGCAAAGGCAGAGCGUGGUUGUGCCGUCCUGCGCCUGCCCCGUGUCACACGCGCUGGUGCCUCUGGUUUCACUGGGUUUAACUGGGCGCGGGGAUGGAGGAUUCCCAGUUCACCUGUGACUGUGGUGGCUCAUUCCCUACCUCACAGGGGUGUUGUGGGGCUUCAUGGUGACCGAGCGUGCUGCACUGAGCACCCCAGAGCUGUGGGCAGGCACCGUGGGGCACUCAGGGGUGACCAAAAUGCUGCUGUGACGGUCCCACACCCCGUGCCCGCUGUGCAGCUGUGGGGCAGGGCCACUUCUCCCCUCUGACACCCGCCCAGGCCACUGGUGUUGGCCCCGUGCUCCCCUCUCGCCCUGGCUUUCCUCUCUGUUCUGUUUUACCUGGGGAGAGGAGGAGGAUGCAGCUGGGGGAGGGUGGAGGAAGGCGAUGGAGGGACGGGCUGGGAGUUCCAUGGCUGAACUUUGAGUUCCUUUGUACUGUACAUCUUUUUACUUUGGAAUUUGCAAUAAAGAGGUAUGUCCAUCUUGUUUUAACAACUUC